Molecule: ribosomal RNA, 84 nt
Filed under: Kordiimonadaceae bacterium
Lineage: Bacteria; Pseudomonadati; Pseudomonadota; Alphaproteobacteria; Kordiimonadales; Kordiimonadaceae
Description: partial 16S ribosomal RNA
Rfam family: Bacterial small subunit ribosomal RNA
Source: RNAcentral
CAACUUGAGAGUUUGAUCCUGGCUCAGAACGAACGCUGGCGGCACGCCUAACACAUGCAAGUCGAACGAGAAGGUUUCUUCGGA